GGAAAUGUCACUCAUAGAUAAAAUGCUAGGAUCAUAUAUGAUUAUUUGGAUACUUAUAAAACAUACACUUAAAUGAGAACUGAUUAAGGUGGGUUACCCAAUAACAUGUAUCACAACUUCAUAACAUAGAGCUAUCCUAAUCAAAGUGUUUUGCAGCGGAAAACGUGUGAGAUAUACAUAUGAAGAUGUAUACUCAAGGUUACAUUUCUUGAAAUGUCAAAGGGACACCCGCUCAACAUCAUUCCAUUCCAUCAGUUGCUCAACCUGCACAUUUAGAAAUACAUGCAGGGCUGAGUAUAAAAAUACUCAGUGGGCACGUAUGCCUAGGUAUAAAAAUACAUGCUUCAAAACUGUAAAUUGUCAUGCCAUCAUAAACAGUACAACAAGGGAGUUUUUCGCUAAAAAGGCCCAAGCUUACUAAGUUCAUUUGUGAUUCUUAAAGUUCGUCUGCAGACUAAGUUCUCUUGUAAUCUAUCAUAUCUGGAACUGUGUGCCGGAGAGGUGGCCACCUCUCACGGUCACUUGACCGGCCAACCCGCUAGAUGACUCACGGUCACUGGUGUACACUAGCCCUGGCAGGAUAGCUAUCAACUGCUCAGGACCCGAAUUCGAUUGCAUCAUUGGCAAAGCCAAAGCAGAUAGAUAUCAUACUAAAAUUUAAACAUUUUAUGGCAAGACAAUACUUGAAAUAACUUUAACUCAAAUAUUUUGUAACGAAAUAACUUGCUCAAAUGUAACAUUAAACUCAUUUGAUAGGUAUAUAAAACUGAAAUUAACAGUUAAAUCAUCUCAUGCAUUCAUUCGUAUAAGAGGCCUACGACACGCAGGGGAUCUCUAUAUACGUAUAGUAAAAGUAAUGCCCAC
This 864-nucleotide long non-coding RNA is filed under the name Salvia miltiorrhiza (redroot sage). RNAcentral describes it as "long non-coding RNA (SMIL_LNC009356)". Lineage: Eukaryota; Viridiplantae; Streptophyta; Magnoliopsida; Lamiales; Lamiaceae. The record is from RNAcentral.